Molecule: long non-coding RNA, 1357 nt
Filed under: Homo sapiens (human)
Lineage: Eukaryota; Metazoa; Chordata; Mammalia; Primates; Hominidae
Description: HSALNT0332867
Source: RNAcentral
CUCAGGAGCAACGCCCGCCGCCAGGCGGAGCUGGGAAGGGAGGGCGGGGAGGUGCGUCUGCAGUCCCGGGUUCGGGCCCUAGUAGUCGGUGGCUGGUCGGUGACUGGGACCAGACCGUCGCCUCCUCCCUUUUACAGCUUUAAGUCUGUGACCCGAGGCCUCUCUGUAUAUUCCCGUGGGGUUGGGCCUAGUUGUCCUGGGAGAAACUAGAUGGAUGAGGAGUAUUUCCGAGACAGGUCCCAGGGCCAGCGCAGCCUUUUCUGUUGCAGAACCGCGACUGUUGUUUUGGGAUCCAGGCCGGAGGGUUUGUUGCUUGUGUUCAUUCCAGUUAACCAUUAGUACUCGAGAAGGUGGUACAGAACGCAUCUAUCCCCUUAGAAGAAAAGAAAUUAAAAGCCAAACUAAACUGGGAUAUAUAUUAAUAUAGGAAACUACCACUGAGACAUAGGAAAGUGUAUUAAAAUAUAACUAGUGAGGUGCUAUGUAUAAUUCAGAGGAAGGGGAAAUUAUGCAUGGGCCAGACUACUAACAAAAGGCUCCAAAGCCUGGGAUACGCUGAGGGCCUUUCCAUAACAGAAAAUGAAAAGGAACCUAAAUUUGAGACUAGAUUUGAGGAAAGGCACAGUUGCGCUGGAGUAGAAAGCGUCUGUCUACCGCAGUGGAAAUGAACUAAAGGGCUCCCAAAAUCUCUCCUGCAGCAUUUUCCUUGAGAAGGAGGAAGGUUUGCAUCUCUGUGAGAAGAAACAUCAGAAGCAGUUGAAAGACCAGGAUGUGGGUCCUCUGGGGCUGAGGAGGCAUUCUGAAUCAACUGUGUGUUCUACACCUGUGUUUUAACUGUGACCUGUCACAUGAGGACAAGUGUGGAAUUUCCCACUUUUGUGCCAUAAAUCUCUCUCUGGGAACAGUGUGGAAGAUGGAUUGAAAUGGUGUAAAAUUGAAGAUGUGGACUCCGGUUGGGAGACUACACCCUAGAUAAGAUGAAGAGAACUUGAAGCAAGACAAUAGCAAUGGGAAUAUAAAGGAGAGGAGACAUUUGAGUGAAAUUAAGGAAGCACAAUCUGCAGACUGUUUUCUUUUUUUUAAGAGUCAGGGUCUCCCUAUUUUGCCCAGGCUGGUCUCAAAGUCCUAGGCUCAAGCGACCCACCCACCUCAGCCUUCCAAAAUGCUGGAAUUACAGGGGUGAACUGCCUCACCAUGCCUCAGUCUGCAGAAUUUGAUGACUGAAUGUAUUUGGAGAGAGUCUGUGGCUUGGAUGACUGGGAGCUGUGAUUGGUUGAUUGAUUUUGAGGCGGAGUUUCACUCUUGUUGCCCAGGCUGAAGUGCAGUGGCACAACCUCUGCUCACUGCAACCGCUGCC